AAAAUUAACGCUGUAAAAGCUGAACUUUUAAUAUUGUACUGAAACUUUAAUUAUGACUUUAAAUCUGGGUCUCGUAAAAUCAGAUUGACAGACACACGUGCGCGGACGAAGACACAACCUCCUAGCGGAAGUAAUUACUGAGUGAAGUAAAUCUACUCCACUCUACGAGUAAAUUUGCUCCACAAAUUUCAGUAACUUUAUGCAAUAGUUUGGGUCGUUGUGAGUGUGCAGUAUUUUAC
Molecule: non-coding RNA, 239 nt
Organism: Paramuricea clavata
Lineage: Eukaryota; Metazoa; Cnidaria; Anthozoa; Malacalcyonacea; Plexauridae
Source: the annotation of a GenBank genome assembly